ACGGCCAUAUCCCGUUGAAGCACCAGCUCUUGUCCGAUCACCAAAGUUAUGCAACGUCGAGCCUAAUCAGUAACUAGACGGGUGCCCACUUGGGAGUACCACGUGCUGUGA
Molecule: non-coding RNA, 111 nt
Organism: Acanthosepion pharaonis
Lineage: Eukaryota; Metazoa; Mollusca; Cephalopoda; Sepiida; Sepiidae
Source: the annotation of a GenBank genome assembly